RNAcentral lists this ribosomal RNA (289 nucleotides) under uncultured beta proteobacterium. Its description in RNAcentral is "partial 16S ribosomal RNA". It matches the Rfam family "Bacterial small subunit ribosomal RNA", at positions 1102 to 1397 of the family's 1533-position model. Lineage: Bacteria; Pseudomonadati; Pseudomonadota; Betaproteobacteria. The record is from RNAcentral.
CCCUUGUCUCUAGUUGCUACGAAAGGGCACUCUAGAGAGACUGCCGGUGACAAACCGGAGGAAGGUGGGGAUGACGUCAAGUCCUCAUGGCCCUUAUGGGUAGGGCUUCACACGUCAUACAAUGGUGCAUACAGAGGGUUGCCAAGCCGCGAGGUGGAGCCAAUCCCAGAAAAUGCAUCGUAGUCCGGAUCGUAGUCUGCAACUCGACUACGUGAAGCUGGAAUCGCUAGUAAUCGCGGAUCAGCAUGCCGCGGUGAAUACGUUCCCGGGUCUUGCACACACCGCCCGU